RNAcentral lists this ribosomal RNA (425 nucleotides) under uncultured bacterium. RNAcentral describes it as "bacterial SSU rRNA". It matches the Rfam family "Bacterial small subunit ribosomal RNA", at positions 917 to 1344 of the family's 1533-position model. The record is from RNAcentral.
GGGCCCGCACAAGCGGUGGAGCAUGUGGUUUAAUUCGAUGAUACGCGAGGAACCUUACCAGGGCUUAAAUGCAGUUGGACAGGUCUGGAAACAGACCCUUCUUCGGACUAAUUGCAAGGUGCUGCAUGGUUGUCGUCAGCUCGUGCCGUGAGGUGUCAGGUUAAGUCCUAUAACGAGCGCAACCCCUGUGGUUAGUUGCCAGCGAGUCAUGUCGGGAACUCUAGCCAGACUGCCGGUGCAAACCGUGAGGAAGGUGGGGAUGACGUCAAAUCAUCACGGCCCUUACGACCAGGGCUACACACGUGCUACAAUGGUAGGUACAGAGGGCAGCUACACAGCGAUGUGAUGCGAAUCUCAAAAAGCCUAUCGUAGUCCAGAUUGGAGUCUGCAACUCGACUCCAUGAAGUAGGAAUCGCUAGUAAUCG